GCGUCCCUGGUGUAAUUGGCAGCACGGCUGGUUCCAACCCAGUUGGUCAGGGUUCAAGUCCUUGGGGGCGUG
RNAcentral lists this transfer RNA (72 nucleotides) under Rhodopirellula sp. RNAcentral's name for it is "tRNA-Trp". It matches the Rfam family "tRNA". Rfam says of the family: Transfer RNA (tRNA) molecules are approximately 80 nucleotides in length. Their secondary structure includes four short double-helical elements and three loops (D, anti-codon, and T loops). Further hydrogen bonds mediate the characteristic L-shaped molecular structure. tRNAs have two regions of fundamental functional importance: the anti-codon, which is responsible for specific mRNA codon recognition, and the 3' end, to which the tRNAs corresponding amino acid is attached (by aminoacyl-tRNA synthetases). tRNAs cope with the degeneracy of the genetic code in two manners: having more than one tRNA (with a specific anti-codon) for a particular amino acid; and 'wobble' base-pairing, i.e. permitting non-standard base-pairing at the 3rd anti-codon position. Lineage: Bacteria; Pseudomonadati; Planctomycetota; Planctomycetia; Pirellulales; Pirellulaceae. The record is from RNAcentral.